Long non-coding RNA from Humulus lupulus (European hop), 513 nucleotides. RefSeq lists it as uncharacterized. The record is from RefSeq and is a predicted model, not a curated record. NCBI's taxonomy places the organism in Eukaryota, Viridiplantae, Streptophyta, Magnoliopsida, Rosales, Cannabaceae. The transcript is spliced from 2 exons.
UCUCUCUCUUCAAUCACUCUUUCAGUUUCUCCCAAACACUCAUCAUUCCGCCUGUGAUGAUCCCCCUGUGAUCUCUUUCUUCAAUUUCUCUUAAUCCCCCUGUGAUCUGAUUAAAUCGCUCAUCAUUCUUUCUCAAUGACUCUCAUAAAUUCUUGAUGAGAAGCUUUGGCACAAGCUUUGGCCCGACGUUCUUUCUCCUCCAAUCAAAUCUCUCACGAAGUCUCUCCUAUAGAAAAAUGUACUCUUUCUUCCCCUGUGUUGAUCCUUCAGACACCUUCUUGACCAACAUGUGGUUUCAACAUGGAAGCUGAAAUCAGAUCCUGGAAUUUAGACAUUUUCUGCUUCAGAUUUUGAUUCUGUAUAUGGUUUGUAUCUGAGCUUUUCAGAUGUUCAUUGGUAGUCCAGGAUCUUUGUAUAUUUUAAUCGAGAUGUAAACACAUGGGCCUGAUAAUAUUUCAGGUUUUGAAUGUUUAAUUCAUGCCAAGAACUUGAUAUAACCGUGAUAAUUAAGAU